Molecule: ribosomal RNA, 842 nt
Filed under: uncultured Lactobacillus sp.
Lineage: Bacteria; Bacillati; Bacillota; Bacilli; Lactobacillales; Lactobacillaceae
Description: bacterial SSU rRNA
Rfam family: Bacterial small subunit ribosomal RNA
Source: RNAcentral
UCCAUGUGUAGCGGUGGAAUGCGUAGAUAUAUGGAAGAACACCAGUGGCGAAGGCGGCUGUCUAGUCUGUAACUGACGCUGAGGCUCGAAAGCAUGGGUAGCGAACAGGAUUAGAUACCCUGGUAGUCCAUGCCGUAAACGAUGAGUGCUAAGUGUUGGAGGGUUUCCCCCUUCAGUGCUGCAGCUAACGCAUUAAGCACUCCGCCUGGGGAGUACGACCGCAAGGUUGAAACUCAAAGGAAUUGACGGGGGCCCGCACAAGCGGUGGAGCAUGUGGUUUAAUUCGAAGCUACGCGAAGAACCUUACCAGGUCUUGACAUCUUCUGCCAAUCUUAGAGAUAAGACGUUCCCUUCGGGGACAGAAUGACAGGUGGUGCAUGGUUGUCGUCAGCUCGUGUCGUGAGAUGUUGGGUUAAGUCCCGCAACGAGCGCAACCCUUAUUAUCAGUUGCCAGCAUUCAGUUGGGCACUCUGGUGAGACUGCCGGUGACAAACCGGAGGAAGGUGGGGAUGACGUCAAAUCAUCAUGCCCCUUAUGACCUGGGCUACACACGUGCUACAAUGGACGGUACAACGAGUCGCGAAGUCGUGAGGCUAAGCUAAUCUCUUAAAGCCGUUCUCAGUUCGGAUUGUAGGCUGCAACUCGCCUACAUGAAGUUGGAAUCGCUAGUAAUCGCGGAUCAGCAUGCCGCGGUGAAUACGUUCCCGGGCCUUGUACACACCGCCCGUCACACCAUGAGAGUUUGUAACACCCAAAGCCGGUGAGAUAACCUUCGGGAGUCAGCCGUCUAAGGUGGGACAGAUGAUUAGGGUGAAGUCGUAACAAGGUAACCAAGGGCGAAA